Molecule: ribosomal RNA, 204 nt
Filed under: Achromobacter sp. A6
Lineage: Bacteria; Pseudomonadati; Pseudomonadota; Betaproteobacteria; Burkholderiales; Alcaligenaceae
Description: partial 16S ribosomal RNA
Source: RNAcentral
CCCCAAGGGUUCCUUUGUUACAACUUCACCCAGUCAUGAAUCCUACCGUGGUAAUCGCCCCCCUUGCGGUUAGGCUAACUACUUCUGGUAAAACCCACUCCCAUGGUGUGACGGGCGGUGUGUACAGGACCCGGGAACGUAUUCACCGCCACAUGCUGAUCCGCGAUUACUAGCUAUUCCGACUUCACGCACUCGUAGUUGCAG